CUUUUUACGUUGUUAAGAUAAACAGUCAAUUAAAAGAUACAUAAAGAGAAAAAGCUGUACUCGAAUUUCUCUUAUCGGUCUAAUUUAGCUUUAAAAUAAUAAAGAUCAUAUCAUAAGGAACAUGUGUACUACGUCUCAAGUUGAUUGGACUGCAGCUUCAUCAAAAACUAACUUGACCAAAAACUUUAACCUGAAUCGGGACAGACGAACGGACGAACGGACGCACAGACAUGAAAACAUAAUGCCCAUCUACUAUCGUAGGUGGGGCAUAAAAAUCGUUGGUAUCACAAAUCUAAAAUAUGUAAUCCUUUUAACAGGGGGUAGGAGGGGUCCUGAUCCCGAAAUUCCGGGCUUUAAAACACGAAAUCCCGAGGUCCCCAAUCUAAAUAAAUUUAAAUUCCGACAUUCCGAAAUUCGAAAAAAGAAUUCCUGGGUCCCGAAAGGGUCAAUCCGAAAUCCCGAGCUUAAAAACACCCGAUCCCGGAGUCCCGAUAAAGAUCCUAUUCCCUCUAUUUUAGAUACAUGAACAACA
This 532-nucleotide long non-coding RNA is filed under the name Mytilus galloprovincialis (Mediterranean mussel). Lineage: Eukaryota; Metazoa; Mollusca; Bivalvia; Mytilida; Mytilidae. The record is from RNAcentral.